Molecule: non-coding RNA, 96 nt
Organism: Xylaria castorea
Lineage: Eukaryota; Fungi; Ascomycota; Sordariomycetes; Xylariales; Xylariaceae
Source: the annotation of a GenBank genome assembly
GGCUGGGUGGCGGAGUGAUUAACGCAAAGGACUCGAGCGUUUGAUUCUAGUGAUACUUUUCCUUCAGGAGCGUCUGUUCGAAUCAGGCCCUCGUCG